Molecule: long non-coding RNA, 1770 nt
Organism: Bombus impatiens (common eastern bumble bee)
Lineage: Eukaryota; Metazoa; Arthropoda; Insecta; Hymenoptera; Apidae
Exons: 4
Source: RefSeq, a predicted model, not a curated record
GAUGAGGUAUGAAAGCAGAGACCACCGUCUGCGGAGGCAUGAUUAUUCUAUUGUUCCUUUUAACGAGUAAUCGUUUUACUCGAAUCCUCUUACUAAACCCAACCUCGUUAAGACGUCCGCCACUUCAACUUCUAUCUACAAGUGGCAAAAACUGAAGCUGACCUUCUUCAUGGAGAAACAUGCCGGAAAUGGCAUCCGCACGUGUGAAUAAUUAUACUCAGUGUCCAGCACCCGAUCUUCUGGUUGACGUCGUUAAGAAAGAGGAACGAGUGCACAGGAAGCAUGGUCGGCGUGAGCAUGAUUAGAUCCGGUCUGCCCGAUGACCUUGCCAGUGAUAAUAGCGGUUCGUUAAGGUGGUUGCAGUCUUGGUUUGCUUCUGUUUCGAUUUCCAGCGAACUCGUCAGCCGGCAUGGCUUCCGAGAUGCUCCCCCUGAAACAAGUCGAAGGGAAAUAAUUAAUGGACUCUCUGUUCGAUUACGGAACCAAAGAUUCUUAUCUGGUUUAUGGUGAGCUAAGGAACUCUUUGAAAACAGCAUUUAUAACUUUCGAAAAAGAGACAGAUACUGAGUAUUUCUUGCGCGAGCAAUUGAAUAAUUAAUUCGUUUUCUAAAUAUCCUUAUUUAUUGUUUCUAAAAUACGUAAUGAUUGGAAGCUUCUUACGGGAAGCGCAAUUAGCCGCUAAUAUCAUUGAAGUCGAACCGCCAUUAAAACCAUAUUACGAUUCGCAUGCGACAUGCUCCAUUCAUGAAAACACAAAAGCGAUAAACAAGUACAAAUCAACGAAAUAAAUCCUCCGAGAACGAGACGUUACAGAAAUUAUACCACUGCGGGGAUACAAAAGACUUGCUCAUGAGCUACUUCCUUCAAGUAGUCGAGCGGUGUAUUUUCCGGUCGUUAAGUUCCAUAUAAUGGGAUAUUAAAGAGUACGGACACAACACUGCUAUUUUUCAACUGUUCAUUAUCAAAUUACGCAGCGGGAAUCGUUGCAACGACAAAAUUGUAACGACUCGUACCUGCGUAUCUCCCAUUUAGCUGCGGUAAAAGCUGAUUUGUCUGCGUUUUUUUUUCACUUCCUCGUUACGGAAACCAGGAAAAGUGAUUCACGAUACAGUUUCUAACUGUACUUCUCGCGAUUCUUUCUUAGAAACAAGCAAUUUCUUCUUUUCAAUUUCCUAAACCUAUAAUAAAGCAGUCCAUUUCUUGAACAGAAAUUAACUUUAAAACUUUAGGCGCAUACAUUGUACGUAUCGUGUGUAUGUAUUUUGAUUUGAAAAGAAACGCGGCAAACGCCUUUGAAAAGACGUUAGGUUUUCAACACCUUAACUAACUUAAUUCCAGCGAGUCGUAAAUCUGCUGCAUCUCCAACAUCUGAAUAUCCAUCUUUUACAAUGACUUGUUCUCCAAUUUAUUAAAAUUACAUCUCUCCCGUUGCACCGACCUUCUUUAAAGGUUCCCGCGGCAGGUUGAACCCGCAUCACGUAUCUUCCCUCUUCUUUCCACCCCCUGUUCCUUUUCUCUUUCUAUCGGACGGGAAGAGCGGGAACGCUUAAAACGCGCGAAUCACGCGAGCGCCUCACGAUUUGCGAAACAUCACGUGAAAAUCACCGAUCCGAUCUCCGUGCGCGCGGUGCACUGUGGGGGUAACGAUUAAAUCGACAGGAUAUACUUUAUUGGCUAUUCCGUUAUUACAGGCUGUAGCUGGCGGGGAAAUAGUCAUUAUGGAUCGAUGAACUCCAUUGUAACAACGCACCUUCGAAUUGCAUCGGAAAC